GGAUUAGAUACCCUGGUAGUCCACGCCGUAAACGAUGCGCACGUGGUACGGGAGUCUCUGACGACAUCCGUGCCGAAGCUAAAGCGAUGAGUGCGCCGCCUGGGGAGUACGGCCGCAAGGCUAAAACUCAAAGGAAUUGACGGGGGCUCACACAAGCGGUGGAGCAUGUGGAUUAAUUCGAAGCAACGCGCAGAACCUUACCUGGGUUUGACAUGUACGGAUGCCCUUCUGGAAACAGGAGUAAGCUGCCUUCGGGUGAAACGUACACAGGUGCUGCAUGGCUGUCGUCAGCUCGUGCCG
RNAcentral lists this ribosomal RNA (300 nucleotides) under uncultured bacterium. RNAcentral's name for it is "bacterial SSU rRNA". It matches the Rfam family "Bacterial small subunit ribosomal RNA", at positions 775 to 1067 of the family's 1533-position model. The record is from RNAcentral.